UAUUUGCCCAAGAAGCGAUUUAAAAGCUCGUAUCAGAAAAAACAUCAUGCAAUAAAUAUCAUUAAAAAUAAACAAACUAGAAAAAAACACCUUGCCAUUUAUAGGAUAAAUAUAUUUUAAAUGGUCAAUAUAUUUAUGUAAGAGUCUUCAGAAGUUAAAGCCAUAGAGAUGCAGCCAGAAAGAAAAUAGGCAAAUAUAAGUAGACAAUAUAGACACUCCUCAUUUAAUGACCAAGUUCUAUUUCCGCACCUAGGUCCUUGAAUAAAUUGGUUGCUAAAUGAAGAACUGCACAGAAUAUGCACAUUAUAAUAUUCAGAGCAAAGAAAUGGUCAGAGGGAACUCCAACUCAUGACUUUGCUUUCAUUUGCAAAGUUCUGAAAUGUACAACAGAACAUAAAACUACAGCACUGAACUACAAAGUACAACCAGCAAGACUUACAGUUCUGUGCUGUAGAAGAAGCCACCAUCAGGCCACACUGCUGCUCAUGUUGCUGAGUUUUAUUUAUAGAUCAUACUCAGCUACUUCAGGAUAAACUGAAGACAGGAAGGAGAAAUGUAGAGUAUAGCGUUGUCAGCAGCAUCGGCUAUCUCUUCAAGUCUCCAGAGGCAAGACAGUCUUCCAUUUAGUAUGAUUUGGGAACCUACUCCAUAGAGGGCUUAGAAGAUACCUGGUCCCCAAGGUAAAUGGAGAUGA
RNAcentral lists this long non-coding RNA (694 nucleotides) under Fukomys damarensis (Damara mole-rat). RNAcentral's name for it is "lncRNA (ENSFDAG00000022551.1)". The record is from RNAcentral. Lineage: Eukaryota; Metazoa; Chordata; Mammalia; Rodentia; Bathyergidae.